AACCGGGUGCCCUUCGAGACAUGGUAGCCGCCUAUGGUGCAGUCCUCGGUGAACUCACGUGGUGCAGAUAAUGGUGCUGCUGGGUACAAACGCAGCGUUUCUUUCACUAUGGCUUGGAGGUAGACUAGCUUGCCUAUAUCUGACUCACUCACAACUCUUUGUCUGCCUAUUUCAGUGUCCAGUUCGUUUUGGGCUCUUUUAAGCACAUGAGGGUUGUUCAAUAAUAGUGAUAUUGCCCAUGUUAAUGUGACCAUGGUGGUAUCGCUACCUCCUGCAAUCAUAUUCUGCAAAAGUACAAUUUAUUUGAUUAAUUAUUUAUAUUAAGCUAAAGUAUAUAGAUUAAGCUAGGCAUAUGUUUGAUUACCAAGCUUGUGGCUUUGUUGACUGUGUCAGCAUCAAAACCGCCAAGGUCUGCACCAUCAAGCACAGAAAGCAUGGCGUCUAUGAAGUCUUGUUCCCCUUUAGCAUCACCUCUUGCCCUCCUCCUCUUGUGCUCUUCAACCCACCCUCCAACGAUGGCGUCCAGUUCUUUCGCAACCUUCUUCAUCGCCUUCUCAUGCCCACCCAAGUCCAACCACCGAAGAUAAGGCACCACAUCACCCACCACAGACACCCCCACAUAAUAAAAAAACACCUUCAAUGCACUCUGAACCCUACGUGCUUCUUUCUUCUCAUCCUCAUCCGCCGCAACCGAAUAACGCUUUCCGGCCACCAUUCUAAGAAUCACGUUCAAAGUCAUGUCCCCAAACCACUGCUUCAACUCCACCAAAACUCCGUCGCUAUUAUUGCUCUUCCUUUUCUCCUCGGUGCUCCAAGUUUUGUACAAUUCUUGCAAGAAAGUUGUCACUUCAGAGACUCGAAUGCGUCUGAGCAGCUCAAGCCUUCGGUUAGAGAGCAGCUCCAAAGUGGUAAUCUUGCGCAUCUCUCGCCAGAAGUGUCCGUAGGGUGCAAACGCAAACAUGGCGCCGUUAUAGCCAAUGUGAUCCACAACCGCGAGCUUUGGACGCGAGUUUAAGACCAAGUCAUUGGUUGUGAAGCAUUCUUUUGCGAUCUCACUGCUGCUUAUCACGAGAGAUGGAUAGACGCCGAGGCGGAUGGUGAAGAGAGGCCCGUACUUGUCAGCCAUGGCUGCCAAUUUGAUGUGAGGAGGUGUGGAUCCUCCUAGCAAGGGAAGGUGGCCAAAUAUCGGCCAUGCACCCUUGGCUUCAGUUGGGGCUAAUUUGGCAGGUCUCCAUCUGCGUGAGAAGUAAUAGGAAACGAUGAUUAUUGUAAAUAAAAAAGCAGUGAUGGAGUUUACAUAAGGGAGAGAAUAAUCCAUUGAAACUAAUUGGUAAUUGGAAACUUAGAAAGCUAGAGAAUGACAGCCAUGUCACACAUAUUAUAUAGGCGUGAUAUCUAUGUUCAUAUAUGAUACAUAUCAAUACCACCUCAUGAGGAUAGAACAGAAUAUUAUUAUUAUAGAUAAAAUUCUACGCUAAGGAAGUAAUGAUGGUGAUGGUGAGCCUUACAUGAAAAACUGUGUAUCUAUUUUGUUUGCUAUUGCUACGAGACACAGUCCAUUGCUAAAAAAAUCGACAUAUUUAUUUCCCGUACGUAACUUCUGGAGUCUAUUCCUUUCCAAUUGUCCAUCUCAUUUUGUAGAUUUAUAUCAAAAAGCUGGACCAUCAAGUAAGAUAAGAUUAUACACAUGUAUGAUGUUUAUAGCAAAUAUGACCAGCCAAUUGGAGAAUGACAUAUGGAAUUCGAUCCACAAACAACCUAUUAAAUUUAAACAACUUAUUUCGUCCCACAAAAUAUCAUCGGUAAGUUGUGAGAAUUCGGCACCUUGGCCUGCCAAUCAUGAUUAGAAACCACGCUCCAUUGAAGAUUUCUCACAAGGACACAUGGUGCCUCCUCAGGUGAUGCCAAGAGUCUCACAUUGAAAUCUCACUCAAGAUGCAUAUCUCCUAAAAUUUAUAAAAAUAGACACAAGUCCCUAAAAAAAGGUAAUUGGGACAUUUGACUACUUAUCCAUAACUUUGUCCAAAUUAGUAUUACUGCCAAAGAGCACACAGAACCGAAAGCGACAUCAUCACUAAAUUGAGCCCAAAAAUGACCAACCAUUUUUUAGCAUCAACAUAUGACAUGUUCCUUAUUUUGAUAAUGUCAAAAGAAGAGGAAUUUAUAAACUGGAACUAUUUAGUUUAAUACAUUCAGAACAUAUAUGCAUAUGUGCAUUUUAUAAUAUCACAGCAUUUAUUACUACAUAUAGCUAAAUUCGCACUCUUAACUAUUUAAUUAUAAAAAUUAGGAGACAAGCAGGGAUGGAUUCAAAAAUUUUCCUUCCAAGAGUCAAUGUCUAAAAGGUUAAAAAAUUUCUAUACAAAAUAGACCUAUAAUUUUUUUUAAUAUUAAAAAACCCUUAAUCUAUUCAAACUAACAGUAACGAACCAAAAUUAAACCUCCGCGGCAACCAAAAAAAACAAAAAAACCUCAACAACUAAUCAAGAAAAACAUCAAUAUUCAUCCCAUAAAAAUAACACGAUAAAUUAUCAUUCAUAUAUAAUUCAUUAAGAAAACAACAUUACAAAACACAUAUUAAAUCAAUCCACCAUAUUUUUAUUAACUAUAUUAACCAAUCCACAAAAACAAAAACCUUAUAUUAAAAUGCACAAAGAUUCAACUCCUAAAGUAACAACUUUAAACAUAUCAACCUACUAAAAAGAAAUAUUAUAAACAUUGCAGGACAGUCAACAAUGUAAUUUAUCUCGGUUACAGCUAUAUUGAUGUAGUGAACCUUAUUUAUGUUUCUAAUAUUGAAAAAAAUAAAAGCAAGACAAAAACAAAUUAUAAAAUAGAAUGAGCUAAAAUUAUGUAAUAAAGAAAAAUACAUGAAAAGGAAAAAAAUGUAAAAUAAAAAGUAAACGCAAAGUAAAGAGCAAAAGGAACAAAGACAAAAAUAUAUACAAAAAGAAAAAUUUGAAAUGAAAAAGAAGAGAAAAAGCAAGAUUGGGAAAGAGAAAAAAAGAAGAAGAUAAAAACAAAUUGAAAACAUAAUAGCGUAUUGGGUUUGAAAUGUCCAAUGUAUUGGGGAUUGUGGGCUUUAUCGGGUAGCAGCUUCAUUGCUUGCCGUUGCCCCUUUUUAUUUUAAUAUGUUUAAAAAAUAAAAAAUAAAAACUUAAAUGAAACGGUGUCGUUUGUAGGUGAAUCAAAAGAAGAAAAAAAGGAAGCACUCUGUGUGCAAUGCUGUUUGCUGCGCUGAAGUUGAAGUUGUUGUAACCUUUUGAGGCAUUUCCUCGAACAGAUGGCGGGCAUGAAUUGCCCAGCCAUCCAGCCAUUGCAAGGGUCAAUUUUUCUUCCUCUAGUGGCGGAUUCCGGAGUUGCAAGGGUCAAUUGACCAUCCUUGUUCUUCUGUGGAUCCGUCUCUGGAGACAAGCGUGGUUUGACGAGGACAGAAAGAGGGGUCAGUUUCAUGUUCGUAAGUCCAAUACUUCCAGUCAUAUCAAUUGGUGCGUUUUCUUAAGUCGUGACAUCAAACGAAUGAAGAAAACUAGCCAAAGUUCCUAUAAUACCCUUGAUUAUAUUUUUAAUGUGAUUUGUUUAAGAAAGGCCAAAAGUCACUUUUGGUCCCUAUAGUUUGGCACUUCAACUACUUUUGACCAUGUAGUUUCAAUUCCAUCAAUUUUGCCAUUGUAGUUUCGUAUUUGUAGCAAUUCAAGGACAUGUUAUUAUUCUUGUCAAUUUCUUUAACGAUGCAAGGGGCAAUUUCGUCAACCCAAAACCCUUGAGCGUAAAAGCUUGUCUGAAAAUCUCCCAAUUUCAUAUUAGGACUCGAAAUUCAACCACUAAUCCCAAUUUUUGAAGAACCUUAAACCCAAAUGACCAAUUUAAAGCCCUAAUAUGAAAUUAGAGAAGUUUUAGACGAGCUUUUGUGUUCAAAGAUUUUGGGUUGACGAAAUUGCCCUUUGCAGCGUCAAAGAAAUUGACAGAAAUACUAACUUGUCCUUGAAUUGCUACAAAUACGAAACUAUAUGGUCAAAAAUGGUUGAAGUGCCAAAUUACAAGGACCAAAAGUGACUUUUAGCCUUUAAGAAAUUAACUGCAAUUCAAUGCCGAUUAAUUGUGUUUCGAUUUUGUAUAGAUUCCAAAGAUUUAAUGGGUCAGUUUUUUCCUUAUUUAAAAAAAGUAAUUAAAACUUGGUGUAAUGACUGUCAUAUGGUUUGAAUAUACUCAUUGUUUCUAUAAAAAACACAAGAAUAUAUUCGUUUUUUUUAUUUUUUUCAAAUUUGACUUCUUGAUCAUUUCAUAUUUUAAUUUUCAAAUUGAUAGCUUAUUUAUACCAAUUUCCAAAUUCAAUAGUUGUUAUGGUUUGAAAUUAAUUUGUUCAAAGGGAAAUAACAUGUUAUUCUUUAUUUGACCCCGUGUUUAGGUACAUCAAUUUACCUACAUUUUUUCUUAGCAACCUAUGCCUCUAGGUAGGUAAAUUAAUAUACAACCAACUAAGGUGGUACAAUUUUUUUUAGCUACCUAUGCCUCUAGGUAGGUAAAUUAAUAUACAACAAACUAAGAUAAAUCCUUAGCAAAAAAAAAAAAAAAAAAAACUACGGGUAAAUAAUUUACCUGUAAGCAUUUAUAGGUAUUUUUACCUAUGGGUAAAUAAUGUACCUAUAUCUUCUAUAAAUUAUUGUGUACCUAUUUUUAAUUUGUGAAAAAUGUAUGAAAAUUUCAAUUACAAAGUAACUGGCCUAGUUUUUUUUUUUUUUUUUUUUUAAAUUUGGUAAAUAAUAUACCUAUAUUUUUAUACGUAUAUAUUUAUAUUUAUAUUUUUCAUAGGUACAUUACUGGAUAUGUAAGUUACAUAUAUAAUUUUUUUGGUUUACAAUUUUAAGGGGCAAUAUGUUAGAGAGAAUGGCAACCAAAAGAAAUGGGGUGAUUGAUAUGCUAUUAAUAAGGAGUAUAAAUUACACUUAUUUCAGUUAAUGAAAUGGUUGAAAUAAAUAAAUAUAUAUAUAAAGCAAAAGUCAGAGAAUGGUGAAACAUUCAAAAUACCAGAAAAUGCCUUUGGUUAAUUUAAACAUUGAGAAUUGAAAUUAUUAAUUAAAUAAGGAUAAUAUGGUAAAUUCACAAUUUUUCAUAUUAAAUAAAAUUAAAAACAAAAUCAGAUAAUAGGUCCUACUUUUAUGGAACAUAACUACUCAUAUUAUCUUUUCUUAAUUCUAAAAAUAAAAUAAAAUAAAGAAAACCAAUUGGCACAUGCAUGAGCGUGUGCCAAGGGGCUAGUUAUAAAUUAAAUAUGAAGUUUGGUGGCAACAAUAUAAAAACAUAGGAAUACUAUGACCUCUUAUAUUCUACUCGGUCAUUUAUGUUUGAAAUUAAGUUUUACACAAAUUUAGAGAAUGAUAAGUAUAUGACUAAGAAAUAAAAAAUAUAGAGACUCAUAUUCGACAAGCCCUUUUAUCCAUAAAGUUGAGAGGGCAAACGAGGAUUGAUGAGGACUUGAAGAGGGGUCGCCUUGACGUUUGUCAGUCCAAAGCUCUCAGUCAUAUCAAUCGGUGCACUCGAGGGGUUGGAGAUUUCAAACGCAUGCACAAAACUAGCCAACGUAAAUUGCACCAUUUGAAGCCCAAAUGCCAAGCCAGGGCAUGCUCUUCUCCCACUUCCAAAUGGAAUUAACUCAAAGUGCAAUCCCUUAACAUCCACAUCCCUGUGGCUGGUCAGAAACCUCUCCGGCUUGAAUUCCAAUGGAUCGGGCCAUAUUCUCGGGUCGGUUUGAAUCUUCCAAAGGUUCGUGAUCAACCGGGUGCCCUUUGAGACAUGGUAGCCGCCUAUGGUGCAGUCCUCGGUGAACUCACGUGGUCCAGAUAAUGGUGCUGCUGGGUACAAACGCAGCGUUUCUUUCACUAUGGCUUGGAUGUAGACCAGCUUGCUUAUAUCUGACUCACUCACAACUCUCUGUCUGCCUAUUUCAGUGUCCAGUUCAUUUUGGGCUCUUUUAAGCACGUGAGGGUUGUUCAAUAAUAGUGAUAUUGCCCAUGUUAAUGUGACCAUGGUGGUAUCGCUAGCUCCUGAAAUCAUAGUCUGCAAAAGUACAAUUUAUUUGAUUAAUUAUUUAUAUUAAGCUAAAUGAUAUAGAUUAAGCUAUAGGCAUAUGUUUGAUUACCAAGAUUGUGGCUUUGUUGACUGUGUCAGCAUCAAAACCGCCGAGGUCUGCACCAUCAAGCACAGAAAGCAUGGCGUCUAUGAAGUCUUGUUCCCCUUUAGCAUAACCACUUGCCCUCCUUUGCUUGUGCCCUUCAACCCACUCUCCCACAAUGGCGUCCAGUUCUUUCCCAAUCUUCUUCAUUGCCUUCUCAUGCCCACCCAAGUCCAACCACCGAAGAUAAGGCACCGCAUCACCCACCACAAAUAGCCCCCAAUAAUGAAAAAACUCCCUCAAUGCAGUCUGAACCCUACUUGCUUCUUUCUUCUCAUCCUCAUCGGCCGCAACCAAAUAACGCUUUCCGGCCACCAUUCUAAGAAUCACGUUCAAAGUCAUGUCUCCAAACCACUGCUUCAACUCCACCAAAACUCCGUCGCUAUUAUUGCUCUCCCUUUUCUCCUCGGUGCUCCAAGUUUUGUACAAUUCUUGCAAGAAAGUUGUCACUUCAGAGACUCGAAUGCGUCUGAGCAGCUCAAGCCUUCGGUUAGAGAGCAGCUCCAAGGUGGUAAUCUUGCGCAUCUCUCGCCAGAAGGGUCCGGAGGGUGCAAACGCAAACAUGGCGCCGUUAUAGCCAAUGUGAUCCACAACCGCGAGCUUUGGACGCGAGUUUAAGACCAAGUCAUUGGUUGUGAAGCAUUCUUUUGCUAUCUCACUGCUGCUUAUCACCAGAGAUGGAUGGACGCCGAGGCGGAUGGUGAAGAGAGGCCCGUACUGGUCAGCCAUGGCUGCCAAUGUGAUGUGAGGAGGUGUGGAUCCUCCUAGCAAGGGAAGGUGGCCAAAUAUCGGCCAUGCACCCUUGGCUUCGGUUGGGGCUAAUUUGGCAGGUCUCCAUCUGCGUGAGAAGUAAUAGGAAAUGAUGAUUAUUGUAAAUAAAAAAGCAGUGAUGGAGUUUAGAUAAGGGAGAGAAUAAUCCAUUGAAACUAAUUGGUAAUUGGAAACUUAGAAAGCUAGAGAAUGAAAGCCCUGUCACACAUAUUAUAUAGGCGUGAUAUCGAUACCACCUCAUGUAAUUAUUUUUAUAGAUAAAAUUCUACGCUAAGGAAGUAACGCAUUGAUCACGUCAAAAGUAACAUUAUCAUAUGAAAAACGAUGCGUUUAGUUUGUCCGCUAGUAUAGCACGCUGUGAAGAUUGUUCAAACUUCAACGCCACGUGGUAGACAAGUCUAAUUAUUGAACAAUCAACCGAGUUUUUUACUUGGGGUAUAUCACUCUAUCUACUCGGGAAGACGAGGAAUGCUAAUAACCUUCUCUUUAAUUUUCUCUUUUGAAUUUACUCUCUUCUCUUCAUGACAUGUGUCACUUUCUCUACACUUAAAACAAUGUCAUUAAUACAUUAGACAAUGUAUGUUUUGUUUUUCAAAUUUACCUUUGUUAAAUGCAUUGGACAAACUAACUUUUAUUUUUACCUUGUUAAAAAAUUAAAAGAGAAUUUUAAAUUCUUCCACAAAAUUAACGUCAUAUAUUUUUUUUUCUGUUUGCUUUUUACCUUUUAACUUUUUUAGUUAAUUAGAAUGUUCAUUAAUUUUAAAAAAAUAUUUAUCUGUAUUUUUUUAAAAUUCCAUAAUUUUGAAAGGUUUUAUUGCAAUACUUAUUUUUGAAACCAAAUUUUUUUUUUUUAGGGAAGUAUACUUCGUUUUUAUUUUUAAAUAUUUAUUUAAUUGAACUUUUAAUGUUUAUUUUUAAAAUUUAAUUGUUUAAGUUAAGUUGUAAAUUGAAGGAAAUAUAAAGUUAAUACAUUUAAUAAGGGUAAAUUUGGGAACAAAAGAUAUAUUGUCUAAUGCAUUAAUGUCAUUGUUUUAAGUGUAAAGAAAAUGACACAUGUCAUGAGGAGAAGGGAGAAUGUCCAAAAGAGAAGGUUAGAGAGAAGGUUGCUAGCAUUCCCCCAGGAAGAUACGAUUUCUCUAUCUCUAAUUCUGAGUGACCAAAAAAGAGAUAGCAUAGCCUCCUGCUCACAUUAUUUAUUAGUUCCAGUGCCGUUUUGGCCUUUUCUACUAGCUUAAUUGCUGUGGUGAACGUAUUCUCCAUCGGCGCAAUGAAAUCAAUAUUCGUAAUUUCAAUACGCAUGCAUGGUGGAUGGUGGGUCAACUUCAGGGUUGGUGCUGAGAUUUUGAGGAUCCUGAGUGAAAUUUAAAUGAGAGUCCUUAAUUUAAUGCAAAAAUAUUUAUAAAAAAAUUUGCCAUGACUUAACACAAUAAAACAAUUUUUUCAAUAAUUAAAUUAAAAUUCAUCAUCUAUUAGCAUGCAAUAACAUUCAUAAAAGUUUUAAUGUUUCAAUUUGAGAAAAUGGAAGAGGAAGAAGACAUGAGCUUUUUUUGUUUCAUUUUGAAUGGGUGAAAACAUACAGUCCAGAUUCUUUUGUUUGAUUGAAGAAAGCUUGUACAUAUUGCUUUCCUCUUCUUUGACGUGUUUCCUUUUUCUUUUUCUUUUUUCUGUUGUUAACAAUAAUAAUAAUAAUAAUAAGUAGAAAUGUAAAAGUACAACUACUGCAUGACACAACAUGGACUUGAACCCAACUCGCCUACUAAAAUCAAGGGUAUGAAUUUCAACUCAACCAAAUACCAGGGGCAGAGCCACACUGGGACCCGUGUGGUCCCGAGCCCCCACUUAAGUUUUUAUAUAUUUUAAAAGUAAUAUACUGUUAUGUAUUUCUAUAUGUAUAUUAUUUUAAAUACUUUAUGUUUUGAUAUAUACCCAUAUGUGUUGUGGUGGAUCUAUUAAGGCAUAAUGAGGUACUUCAAAUUGCCCAUUUGCUUAAUUGGUGGUGGUGCACUCCAAGUGUAUAGAUUACCUUGUUUCCGUUUUUAGCAUUUAAGUAAAUGUCUUUGUCCUUUUACUUUCAUUUAUUUUUAUAUUACUCCAUAUUUGGAUUCAAAUAAAAAUACUAAAUCAAAUUCCCACCAAAUCAAAAUAUGAAAAAUUGAUUUUAGUGCAAAAUACGAUUUUGGUUAAAAAUGAUGGCUCAUUAAGUCAAUAUAUACUUUAUACUAAAAUCCCAUAAAAUCAAGUUUUCUUAUUUGAUGUGUAAGGAAUAAAAGCCACCAAAAAUUAUCUUGAGAAAAAAUGAUUAUUUCAAAAAACUAUUUUUCAUACUUAGUCAAUAUUUUUACAUAAAACAUUUUUUUUCAUGUAUGCUAUGAAUACAUGAAGGGACCUAAGGUUUUUUUUAGUUUGUGAAAUUUUGAUUUUUUCUUUCCAUUGGAUUUAAUGGGGGGAAAAGCUUUAAAGAUAUUUGCUAAAUCGCUACUCUUUGUCUAUCUCUUACAAUUUUUCUUGCUUAAAAUGUAUUUGUCUAUCCCUUUGUCGAGGACAAUUAUGAUUGUAACCAAUAAGCAAUAUAAUUCUUGACAUAGUGAUAUAUAUAUAUAUAUACUAUUUUUCGUAUGCAUUGUGAGUUUGAACUUUUGAUUCUUUAUAAUUUGUAAGAUAUCCCCACACACAUGAAAUUCUGGUUUCGUCACUGCCAAAUACACAGUUUGUGUUACUUUUUUGCACGCUCAAGUAUAUAUAUAAUACCUAUAAUAUUAAUAUACAUAAUAUACACGUAAAAUUUUUUUAGAGUUCUUAAAAAUUAGAAGCCUUAUGCGGUGACACCACUUGCACACUCUCAGAGCUGCCCUGCCUCACAUGAAAAACUAUGUAUUUGAUUUGUUUGCUGCGGUUGAAAAUUCAAUUCUUAUCCCAGCUUAACAUUUGUCCACGUCAUUUUGCAGAUUUAUAUCUCCAAUGGGCGGGGUUGCCUUGUUAUAUUGGUUUGUAUCCAGAAGCCUCACACAUAUGAAAUGAUUAAUCAUCUUUUGUUCCGAUUUCAAACCCAAAGUAAGUUGCAUGACUUGAAAAGCGAGAGAGAUUCCUGGUCAUAUCAUUGUAUUUGUUAUACUUGGAAGGAUCCUAAUGUCAUUAAUUUUGACUCACCUGCUUCAUUUCCAUUUUGCAACUUAAUUUUAUUGGUUCAACUUAUCGGCAGCAAAAAGAUGAUUUUCACUGGUUAAAGAGGCGAUGUCUGCUUCCCAACUUUUCCUGCUUCAUUUCCAUACGCAUGCACGGUGAUGGUAAAUUGGUAAUGGAGGGUGGUGGGCAGCCUCACAUGAAAAACUAUGUAUCUAAUUUGUUUGCUACUGCUACGAGACACAGACCAUUGCUCAAAAAUCGACAAAUUUAUUUCCCGUACGUAACUUCUAGUAGACUAUUCCUUUCCAAGAAUAGCAUUUGUCCAUCUCAUUUUGUAGAUUUAUAUCAAAAGGUUGGACCAUCAAGUAAGAUAAGAUUAUACACAUGUAUGAUGUUUAUACCAUGUUGAUAAGUGCAUUAUUUUAUAUAUUUUAAUACCUCUUAUAUUUGAUUUUUGUAGCAAAAGUUAAUUAAAAAGAGCAUUAUUAACUUUCUUUCUUUAUUUUCAGCUAUUCUGCGUUCUUAGAAGGAUUUCAACUGAAAAUCGACAUUUUCAAUUUUUCCUAGUGGGUGUGAUAUAUGCUUGGAAAGCUUAGAGAUCAAGCUUCGUUUCUCAUAUUUUUCCAGAAUUUUCUAGGAAGUAGAACGACCCAAAAAUGUGUGUGCAAGUUGGCUGACGUGUUUCCACGUCAAAUAAGGAUUCUUUCCUAGUUUGUUUCCUUAAUUAUUUAGGAAUUUGUUUUGCUUUAGGAGAGUUUUUCCGGCCUUUUUAGAUUAGGGUUUAGUUGUUUUAAACUAUGUAAAGUCACUCUAAUCUUUUCUACCAUAGACCCAUAUUUCACUACACCCACAAAUAUAUCAAAGAGAGAGCCAAGAGUUGCUGCCACAAUGCUUUUGGAGCUUACGAAGGUGUUGCUGUGGAGAAUCCAGAGAUCAAAUUCAUCUACCAAAUCGGUUUUAUGACAACAAUUCUCUUGUUUAUCUUUUCUUUUGUCAUGAACUAAUUUCUCGUCCUAGGGCUACAAUGUAGCCUAACCAUGAAUAUUUAAUUUUUAUAGUUAUAUUAAUUUCUUAUUACUAUUCCAUGUUAAGUAUUUGUUACUGUUCUUAAUUCCUUAAAUAUCUAGCUAAUAUUUAAUUGAUGAUCCAAACGGAGACCGAGAUGAGAUGUUUGGUGUUUGCUUCUUGUAACAAAUACUAUGUCUUGAAUGAGUGCCUGAGAGGGACUAACAUGACUCAUGCAGUUUUCUUACAGGUUCUCAUAGAACUUAAUGGGUUCUUGAUUUUCUAAAUUCGUUGCUCUAGAAAGAAUAGGUUGUUAAUUAAGGAUACUUUUGCUUGAGCCCGAGAGGGGAUAGCGAGUUAAUUAGGAGAAACCAACUGUCAACAUGGUUAGUAACUAAGGUUAAUUGGCAAUAAGAAUUAAGUGGAAUUGGUUAUGGUGAAAUUUGAUGCUCUAGUGUCUCAUCAAACUUGAUAUUCCAUCGUUAAUUAAAUUGUUAUUUUUCAUAACAGUUUUAGUUUAAUUAAAUCAAUCAAUCUUCCUAAUUAACUGUUUAAAUAAACUUCUGCAUUAAUCAUGAUUGAUACUCAAAGAGAAAUUACAGUCUUCGUGGGAAUGACACUUCACUUAUCUUUAUAUUACUUUUUUGGAUUGUAUGCUUGCAAUAAUUUCACAACAAGUUUUUGGCAUCUCUGCCAGGGACUGUUUUAUUUUAUAUUAAUAUCAAUAUAUUUUAAUUCGGAGUUUAAUUUGAUUUUUUCUUUUUUCUUUUCAAGCAUAUUGUAUUUUUCCGACACCCUCAUCUAUGGCGGAUGAAGCUAACAGAGCAAUGAGGGAAUUUGCCAUCCCAAUGGCAACUCCCUUAAUGAUCUGACGUCCUGCUAUAGCGGCCAACAAUUUUGAUAUUAAACCUUCCAUGAUCACCAUGCUGCAAAGUUCAUCCGUAUUUUGUGGUAUGCUGAACGAAGAUCCAAAUAUACAUCUUGCGAUAUUUUUGGAGAUUUGUAAUGCAUAAGUUCAAUAGGGUAACUGAUGAUGCAGUUCGUUUAAGGCUAUUCCCUUUCUCCUUAAAGGAUAAAGCCAAACUUUGGUUACUGUCAGAACCACAAGAUUCCAUCCGUUCUUGGGAUGAUUUAUCCAAGCAAUUCCUUGCUAAAUUUUUUCCCUCUGGCCAAAAUUGCAAAAUUCCAACAAGAUAUUAUGUCGUUCGUUCAGUAUGAUAAGUAGCCUCUCUAUGAAGCAUGGGAACGAUUCAAAGAUUUAUUGCGUAAGUGUCCUUACCAUGAGCUACCAAGCUGAAUUCAAGUUCAGACUUUUUACAAUGGGUUGAGUCAAACAAGUAGGACAUUAGUUGAUGCAGCAGCUAGAGGUGCUUUAAUGGCAAAAAGGGAUACCAAAGCAUUCAAACUAUUGGAGACCCUGGCUUCCAACAGUUACCAAUAGCGGAGUGAAAUGGUGCAUCUGAAGCCAGCUAGGGUCUUGGUCUUGGAAAUCAAUGCUAUGGCUUUGUUAACAACACAAAUUUCUAACCUUACAAGAAACAAAAGUUGAAUCUUUGAGUGUUAAUGCUGUGAACACUAAUACUAAUUUUGGUUGCGAUUUGUGCAGACCCUCAUCCAAAUUCUGAGUGCACUACAUGGAACCCAUUCGAGUCCUCUGAGCAAGUACAUCAAGUUGUAGAGUUUAAUCGACAAAGGAAUGAUCAUUAUUCCAACACAUACAACCCCGGUUGACAAACCAUCCAAAUUUUUCAUGGAGCAAUAAUCAGAAUGUGCAAAUACCACCACCUGGCUUUCCGCCUCAAGAGAAGAAAAUAAAUUUGGUAGAUGGGCUUACUCAGUUGACUAUGUCUACCACCCAAUUUAUGACUAAAACAAAAACUCAAUUUUAGAAAAAAACAUGCUUCUAUUCGGAAUUUGGAGGUGCAAGUAGGCCAACUAGCUAAUGUAUUGAGUGGAAGAAAUCAAGGAGUAUUGUGAAGCCGACCCGAAAUUAAUCUAAAAAAUCAAGAACAAGUAAUGGCAAUCACACUUCGAGAAAACAAGUGAAUACAACGGUUGACUUGGAAAAAGAAAAUUUAGAAAUAUAGGAAGAAGCUGAGAAAUCCCAAAAAGAAGAAAUAUUAUGCUGCUAUGCCGACUCCUUCUCCUCAAUUGAAGCCGUAUAUUUCACCGAUCCCUUUUCCGCGAGACUGAAGAAAAAUAAAAUAUGGGCAAUCUUCUAAUUUGUUGGAGACAUUCAAAAAGGUAUAAAUCAACGUUCCAUUCGCUGUAGCUUUGGAACAAAUGCCAAGUUAUGCAAAAUUCAUGAAAGACACCCUUUCCAAGAAAAGGAAAUUUGGUGAUCAUGAGAAAAUCCAACUAACUGAGGAAUGCAGUGCCAUCCUGCAACGGAAGCUUCCACUAAAGAAAAAAGAUAGAAGAAGUUUUAAAAUUCUAUGCACUAUUAGAAGUAAUUUCUUUGAAAAAGCUUUAUGUGAUUUGGGUUCUUACAUUAAUUUACUACCUUUAUUUGUUGCUAAAAAGAUUAGUAUUGGUGAAAUUAAACCCACUAUUGUUUCUUUGCAGAUUGCGGACAAAUCAAUCACAUAUCCUGAUGGAAUUAUUAAAGAUGUUCUAGUAAAGGUUGAUACAUUCAUAUUUCUGGCUGAUUUUCUGAUUUUGGAUAUGGAAGAAGAUACUGAGACACGUCUAAUUUUGGGCAGUCCAUUCUUUAUUACUGGAAACUCUUAUUGACGUGGAAGAAGGGUUACGAACUGUGAGAGUUGGGAAUGAAAGCCAAGGGUUGCCGAACCUACCUUAUACUUGGAUGAAACAAAACCAUACAACCUAGGAAGGAAUGAGUUAGAAGAACUUCAGAAUAAAUCAUAUGAGAGUGCGAGAAUUUACGAGGACCAUACAAAGAAGUGGCAUAACAAGCAUAUCAAGAAUGAUCAUGACGAUACAACCUUCAAAGUCAAAGGCUGUUGAUUGAAACCACAUGUGGCAGCCAUAUUUCUUAGGAUGAGACCAACGUCCUCCUCAAUAAUCCCAAAUAACAUAUUUGAAAGUUGGGCUAUUGACUCUGAACUAAGCGUUUGUUGGGAGGCAACCCAACUAGGUACCUUCGUUCCUUAUAUUUUUAAUUUUCGGUUGUGUGUUCCCCGUGUUCAUUGCUUUUACUAUUCUUCGUCCUUCCUUAUAUAUAUAUAUAUAUAUAUAUAUAUUUUUUAAACAUUGAGGACAAUAUUUGGUUUAGGUUUGAGGUGGGUAACAUUUGUUUUUUUUGUUUUGUUUUUGUUUUUAGUCUUUUUCGAGUCAUGCAAAACAUUAGUGUUUAUGUUUCAUUGAAAAUGUUUUCAUCUGUAAUGUAUUUAAAGAUUUGGCCCAUGUUGCCUUCUUCAGUUUUUCGUGCAGAAUCCAGCCAUAUAAGGCUCGUUUUCUGACUUUUUGCUUGGAAGUUACAGUUGUUUUUCUUAACAAAGGUUUGCAACUUGAAUUUUUCUGCAAUUAUGUACUAUUUUCUGUUUUUAACCUCAGUUUUCAUGCAGUUUUAAUAUGUUUUCAGUAUUUUGUCUAAAGAAUAGUUGUGUGUUUGUUUGUCUAUUUUCUUGGCAUAUAAGGCUUGUCAAAAUCCGUGCAGUACUUUAAGAGAUAAUUGUUGAAAACUGAUCUAAGAUCGAAAUUGAAAAGAAGCAGUUUUUUCGAAAUGUGAAUUCUAGUUAAAGCUAUUACUUUUUCUUGCUAAUAGAGAUGUAUAUGCCAUGUUUUGAUCAUGAAUGCUUUACUAAUGUGUUGCCAUGAAUGGUUAUUGCAUUAUAAUCUUUGCAUUUCACAAUACCAUACUCGUAAUAUUUUGGUGGACAGAGUUGCUAUGCUCAAAUGACUAUGGAAUAUUAGUGGAGACUAUCCUUGUGAGAUAUUGAGCCAAAAGCCAUUCUUUGAGAGGGGUUUUAUUGUUUCUACUCUUAAACAAUCUUCGAUUUUAUUCUUAAUUAGAUUGCUCUUAUUAGGUUUGUAUUGGAUACUAAAGAAUUUUCUUAUUUUUGCAGGUACGUCGCUUCCAAUUUGGAUGGACCAUUAGAGAGAUGAUGUUAGGCUAUGCAUGUUUUCACCCACUAAAAGACCUUUCACCCUACCCUUUUGUGUGUGUCAUUAACCCCUUUGUAACCAAAUACUUAACCUUUCUUUCAUCACCCCUAUUAUCUUUUACCUAUGUAACCUGUUUCUAAGCCAUACCUUAUAGCUUAGGAUGUGCCAAAGUGAUGAAAAUAAGAAAGUUAAUUUCUACACCAAAGAAUUGGCGUGUACCAAGGUGUCUGUGUAAAAUUGCAAAAAGAAUACUGAAGAAAAGAAAAGAAAAGGAAAGUAUUUUGCAAUUUAAAAGAAUAAAAGGUCAAAUUAAAUUACUCCAAACGGAAUAGAAAAGAUGCACAAUUCCUGGACGCUAAGUAUUACAAAAUGUUCAAAAGGAGCGGACCGUGUAUGUGAUCAUGAAUAAUGCUUUGGUAUGUCCUAAGUUUUUGUUAUUCCUUUCCUUGCUUUCUUAACUCGAGCCUAGCAUUUCAUUACAAUCUAAGUAGAAGACCUAACUGAUCUUUUGGAAAUCUUGCUUCGAGGUGAGGCAUGUACUCUAGUUCUUAGUAUUUGAUUCUUUUCAUGAAACAUUAUUUUCAGAAAUUUCCAUUCUUCAAGCUAAGCAUAUGUGUUAAAAUUUUGAUGUCCAUUACAUAACUUCAUACACAUAUAUGACAUUUGAGUGUAAGCCUAGGAUUUGGAGAGAAAAAUUAUAGAGUGAUAUCCGGUGACGAUUAGAUUCAAGGCAAAAUAAUUCCAUGGCGUUCGGGUGUAGUUGUAUUUAAACUUUGAUGUUAUGACUUUUGGUAUUAGACGUUACACCAAGAUGCAAUGUACUCAAAGUGGCAUAGCUUUAGUGAUGCAAAUGUUUGUUUUUGUUAGCUUGUUUAAAGUGGUGCCUUUAACAACUUUGUUUUGUAGGAAAAAGUUUGUGGGUAUAAUGACUAGUAACCCUCAGGUGACACAACUCCUCCUACUAGGGACACCUAGAGGUUUAAUAGCUUGUGGCACAUGCUAAGUGCCAUCGAGUUUACUUGCAAAAGUGGUUUAGUUAGUUUCUUUUUUGUUUUUGUUUUUUGUUCUAAUUUUGCUCGAGGACUAGCUAAAGAUAGGUUUGAGGUAGUUUGAUAAGUGCAUUAUUUCCUAUAUUUUUAAAUCUCUUAUAUUUGAUUUUUGUAGGAAAAAAUUAAUUAUUACCUUACUUUCCUUAUUUUCAACUAUUCUGCGCUCUUGGAAGAAUUUCGCCUAAAAAUCGACUUUUUGAAUGAAUUUUAGUGCAAGGCCAAUUGGAGAUGAAAGCUAAGACAUUGAAGAUCAUUGUUUCAAAGUUUCAUAAUUUUCUACCAAACCACAUGCUCCAAACUUGCAAGUCAAGACAUCUCAAGUUGAAAUCCCGUAAAAAUUGCACUGCUAUAGAAGAUUGAAGAUUUGAAGACCUUUCUAAUUUUUCCUAGCGGCGUGUGAUAUAUGUUUGAAAAAAUGUGCCUUUUCCGACUAAAAAAUGUGAACCAUCAGAAGCAUGUCACCAUGAUGCGUUUUAUUUCCGACAGUGAUAGUACCCUAAAAAAAAAGUCUCAAAAUAUGUCGGAAAUAAAUUUUUUUUUUUUUGCUGGAAACCUUGGCGCUCGUUGUAUUUCGAACAAAAGUCACUGUUGUCAGAAGUGCCAUGGUUACUUAUUAUGCCCUCGGAAAUAGUUAGUUAUUUCUGAUGGGAACUAGUUCUUCUGGGUAAUAAUCAACUAGUUUCAAGGGUGCAUUUUGGUAUUAUUAAAAUAACUUGUAUAUUUCCGCCGAGCUACUUUUUGUCGGAAGUAAAUGUACUCUAUUUCCGACAAAAGGUCAUGGUCGAAAAUAGUUUUUUUUUCUUUUCGGAAAUCAAAUAAAAAAUAUCACCAAGAGUAUGAAUGUUGUCUCCGAACAUGUUGUAUUAAUACAAUAAGAAAAUAAAAUAUCAUUAAAAAUUAAAUAUUUAAAUAUUAUUGCCACAAAUGAGUAAUUGUCACAUAUAUUACAUGUACCAUAAAUGUUUUGAAUCACUAAACAAGUCGAAAACAUUUUGUGUUACUCAACAUAUUUAACUACUAUUACAUAACCAUCAAUUAAGUAAUAAACUCAUCAAUUACUUAGUUAAAAUGAUAUAACUAAGUAAUUGAUGCCAUGAAAUUUUAAAUUGUUAUGUUCUUAUCCAAUAAAAUCACAGUAAAUUUAGGUUUUAGCCACAAAAAAACUUUCACUUUUGAAAAAAGCCAAAACAUUUUCAAAAAAGACAUAAAAAUCUCUCAACUUUUGAACCAAAGACAUGCAAAUGUAAAGGAUUCCUUAAGAAAUUCAAAAAUAAAUAAGGGUAUUUUUGUCCAUUUUGGCUUCUUUUAAAAAAUUUCUCUCUCCUUUGGCCUUUUUCAAAAUCUCCCUAAAAUCACCUUAGCUCAUAUUUCAAAUAUUUAUUUGUUGAUACAAGCAAAUAUUUGAAGCGAGGGCCAAACUCAGCAAACCAAAGUAUAAGCGGCAAGUUCUGAGUCUCACUCUACUCCUUUGCCUCCGCUAGAACUCCAUCGUCCCCUACCAACACCGACUCCAAAUUCCCAUCAUCCACAUCUCCUCUGUCUCUAUUUUGGUCAAAAUAGCCAGUCUACUUGUAUUUUGCCCAAAAUGGAGCAAGACUUCCUAUAAUCAGAGCUGCCUGUGAGGUUUUGUUAUCUCGCUCUUCAGACUCAAGUCGGCGGCCGUAGAGAUCCCCCCUUGAGUUUCUUGAGGUCCGUAUCUCCAUCCCUUGUUAUUACUUUUAGCUUUUGUAGCUGUUUAAAUGUUUAUGGCUUUAAGGAUUUUUAGGUGUUUUAUUUUGUAACGAUGUUUUACAAGACCUCGAACUCGGAUAAGUCUAUCAAUUCUCUCUUUGAUUUAUAAAGUUCGAGUAGUCGUGUGGAAAUUAUUUUGUGUUAAGAUAUGACUCAUUAUGCUUUGAGCAAUAAUCUUACCCGUUUCUGGUUUGGGGAGACCCCUGCUUUGAUUCAGAAUCUCUUGUUUGAGGAAUGUAAUCCCCUACUUUGAUUAAUGAUUGUCCUCCUCCUUUUGAAAAAAAAAAAGUGGGAGAAGUGAGGUAAGGGUGAGGAUGCACUUAUAGAUUUCUGGGUCUGGGUUCUGUUUUUCUUCUUUAUUUUGUGUGACUUUUGUCAAAAUUAAGCCCACACUAAUUUUUCUGUCAUUAUUGUCUUGUGGAUGUUCUGAUUUUGCAUACUAUCCUUCACAUAUAAGAAGGCAGAAGUACGGUAUACCUCUAUUUGUCACUCUGUUUACCUGUAUUGAACUUUAGGCAGUGGCUUACAGUGAUGUGGUGCUCUUUAUUGGUUUUUUUUUUUGUUCAAUCUAAUUACUAAUCACAACAGCUACAUUGUAUUAGUAUUAGUUCUGCAUGGGAAAUCAAGCAGAAUAUGGUUGACAUGGCUGCUGAUCGUGGGUGCUACAUUGAUUAGAGUACAGUAUGAAUAUUCUCCGCACUUGGGCUCUAAUUUAAAAUAAUAGCUACUUGGGCUUGAUUAUCUACCUGAUCACCUAUAAUUAAGAUACCAACAAUACAGGGACAAACAACAUUAUAUUGAAAAAAAGAAAAAGAAAUAUAACUAUGAACUAUAAUUUAGGAUAGCAACGUUGACAGUAAAUACAUCCAUUAAUUAAAUAAAAAUCCUUGUUUUAUCAUUUUAUCCAUAAAGUUGAGAGGGCAAACGAGGUUUGAUGAGAACUUGAAGAGGGGUCGCCUUGAUGUUUGUCAGUCCAAAGCUCUCAGUCAUAUCAAUCGGUGAAUUCGAGGGGUUGGAGAUAUCAAACGCAUGCACAAAACUAGCCAACGUAAAUUGCACCAUUUGAAGGGCAAAUGCCAAGCCAGGGCAUGCUCUUCUCCCACUUCCAAAUGGAAUUAACUCAAAGUGCAAUCCCUUAACAUCAACAUCCCUGUGGCUGGUCAGAAACCUCUCCGGCUUGAAUUCCAAUGGAUCGGGCCAUAUUCUCGGGUCGGUUUGAAUCUUCCAAAGGUUCGUGAUCAACCGGGUGCCCUUUGAGACAUGGUAGCCGCCUAUGGUGCAGUCCUUGGUGAACUCUCGUGGUCCAGAUAAUGGUGCUGCUGGGUACAAACGCAGCGUUUCUUUCACUAUGGCUUGGAUGUAGACCAGCUUGCUUAUAUCUGACUCACUCACAACUCUUUGUCUGCCUAUUUCAGUGUCCAGUUCGUUUUGGGCGCUUUUAAGCACGUGAGGGUUGUUCAAUAAUAGUGAUAUUGCCCAUAUUAAUGUGACCAUGGUGGUAUCGCUACCUCCUGCAAUCAUAUUCUGCGAAAGUACAAUUUAUUUGAUUAAUUAUUUAUAUAAAGCUAAAUUAUAUAGAUUAAGCUAGGCAUAUGUUUGAUUACCAAGCUUGUGGCUUUGUUGACUGUGUCAGCAUCAAAACCGCCAAGGUCUGCACCAUCAAGCACAGAAAGCAUGGCGUCUAUGAAGUCUGGUUCCCCUUUAGCAUCACCUCUUGCCCUCCUUCUCUUGUGCUCUUCAACCCACCCUCCAACGAUGGCGUCCAGUUCUUUCGCAAUCCUCUUCAUCGCCUUCUCAUGCCCACCCAAGUCCAACCACCGAAGAUAAGGUACCGCAUCACCCACCACAAACAGCCCCACAUAAUAAAAAAACUCCUUCAAUGCACUCUGAACCCUACGUGCUUCUGUCUUCUCAUCCUCAUCCGCCGCAACCGAAUAACGCUUUCCAGCCACCAUUCUAAGAAUCACGUUCAAGGUCAUGUCCCCAAACCACUGCUUCAGCUCCACCAAAACUCCGUCGCUAUUAUUGCUCUCCCUUUUCUCCGCGGUACUCCAAGUUUUGAACAAUUCUUGCAAGAAAGUUGUCACUUCAGAGACUCGAAUGUGUCUGAGCAGCUCAAGCCUUCGGUUGGAGAGCAGCUCCAAGGUGGUAAUCUUGCGCAUCUCUCGCCAGAAGGGUCCGGAGGGUGCAAACCCAAACAUGGCGCAGUUAUAGCCAAUGUGAUCCACAACCGCGAGCUUUGGACGCGAGUUUAAGACCAAGUCAUUGGUUGUGAAGCAUUCUUUUGCGAUCUCACUGCUGCUUAUCACGAGAGAUGGAUAGACGCCGAGUCGGAUGGUGAAGAGAGGCCCGUACUUGUCAGCCAUGGCUGCCAAUUUGAUGUGAGGAGGUGUGGAUCCUCCUAGCAAGGGAAGGUGGCCAAAUAUCGGCCAUGCACCCUUGGCUUCAGUUGGGACUAAUUUGGCAGGUCUCCAUCUGCGUGAGAAGUAAUAGGAAACGAUGAUUAUUGUAAAUAAAAAAGCAGUGAUGGAGUUUACAUAAGGGAGAGAAUAAUCCAUUGAAACUAAUUGGUAAUUGGAAACUUAGAAAGCUAGAGAAUGAAAGCCCUGUCACC
Molecule: long non-coding RNA, 20533 nt
Filed under: Prunus persica (peach)
Lineage: Eukaryota; Viridiplantae; Streptophyta; Magnoliopsida; Rosales; Rosaceae
Description: long non-coding RNA (PPER_LNC001417)
Source: RNAcentral